This is a long non-coding RNA of Brachypodium distachyon (stiff brome), 253 nucleotides long. RefSeq lists it as uncharacterized. The record is from RefSeq and is a predicted model, not a curated record. The transcript is spliced from 2 exons. Lineage: Eukaryota; Viridiplantae; Streptophyta; Magnoliopsida; Poales; Poaceae.
AGUUGAUGACUGAGAAGGAGAAGCUCAAGAAGAUAUGUGGAUGGAGAAGUACCUGAGGCUCCUCGAAGAACAACAGCAGGAGGCCCACAUCAUCCUUCACUUUCCUCCUCCUCCACCUGAAUAUGUGUUGCACACAAACAUUGAAAGGCGUGGCUUAAUGUGUGAAGUGUAUACAAGGAUAUGUGUUCUACACGAACAAUCAAAGAGAUGGAUUAAUUGGUGGACGAGGGGACGACCCUUGCUCGCUUUCCCA